RNAcentral lists this ribosomal RNA (301 nucleotides) under uncultured bacterium. RNAcentral describes it as "partial 16S ribosomal RNA". It matches the Rfam family "Bacterial small subunit ribosomal RNA", at positions 509 to 807 of the family's 1533-position model. The record is from RNAcentral.
CAGCAGCCGCGGGAAAACGUAGGUGGCAAGCGUUGUCCGGAUUUAUUGGGCGUAAAGCGAGCGCAGGCGGUUUCUUAAGUCUGAUGUGAAAGCCCCCGGCUCAACCGGGGAGGGUCAUUGGAAACUGGGAGACUUGAGUGCAGAAGAGGAGAGUAGAAUUCCAUGUGUAGCGGUGAAAUGCGUAGAUAUAUGGAGGAACACCAGUGGCGAAGGCGGCUCUCUGGUCUGUAACUGACGCUGAGGCUCGAAAGCGUGGGGAGCAAACAGGAUUAGAUACCCCCGUAGUCCCUGUCUCUUAUAC